UAAUACAGAGGGUGCAAGCGUUAAUCGGAGUUACUGGGCGUAAAGGGCGCGUAGGCGGUUAUAUGUGUGGAAUGUGAAAGCCCUGGGCUUAACCUAGGAAGUGCAUACCAAACUAUAUGACUGGAGUAUGGGAGAGGGUGGCGGAAUUUCCGGUGUAGCGGUGAAAUGCGUAGAGAUCGGAAGGAACGUCGAUGGCGAAGGCAGCCACCUGGCCCAAUACUGACGCUGAGGCGCGAAAGCGUGGGGAGCGAACAGGAUUAGAUACCCUGGUAGUCCACGCUGUAAACGAUGAAGACUAGAUGCUGGUAGGGGAACCUAUCAGUAUCGAAGCUAACGCGAUAAGUCUUCCGCCUGGGAAGUACGGCCGCAAGGUUG
RNAcentral lists this ribosomal RNA (375 nucleotides) under uncultured bacterium. RNAcentral describes it as "bacterial SSU rRNA". It matches the Rfam family "Bacterial small subunit ribosomal RNA", at positions 521 to 896 of the family's 1533-position model. The record is from RNAcentral.